Molecule: unclassified non-coding RNA, 496 nt
Filed under: Pectocarya penicillata
Lineage: Eukaryota; Viridiplantae; Streptophyta; Magnoliopsida; Boraginales; Boraginaceae
Description: partial external transcribed spacer
Source: RNAcentral
GUCUUUUGUUGAUUAGGGGGUGGAGAAUGCUUAUACGUGUAGGCGCAUGAGUGGUGUUUUGCUUGUGUUGGUUGGUUGGAUCCUUGCUCAGGCAACGACGUCCAUCCACACAAGCAUCUUCAGUGUCGUCUCGAGAUAAUAUUAUCACGAGUUUUGGAUUGGUUUCUUGUGUUGGGUACCUACUUGAUGGCACUCGAUAGUCUAAAUGUCCAUUUUCGCCUUUCGUUGUUCCUCUUUGGGAUGAUGCAGGGUGAACCAUGAAGUGAUCUCCGUGUCCCACUCUGCUCACAUUGAUUUGUGCUUGUGGAUUGGUCCAUGGGGAGUUUGCUUGAACUGUUGGAUGCGGUGCAUUGUAUACGGGCAUGAGGACUUGCGUCCUCUCUCUGCCCGAACAAAAGCUUUCAUCGCUUAGUUGCGAACGAUUGCGAUCCCCGUUUCGAGCCUUAUGGCAAGUGCGGUGAUCGCUUCGUUGAGGAAUGCUACCUGGUUGAUCCUG